UACAGAGGGGGCAAGCGUUAUUCGGAAUUAUUGGGCGUAAAGGGCGCGUAGGCGGCCUGGCAAGUGGAUGGUGAAAUCCCUCGGCUUAACCGAGGAACUGCCAUCCAGACUGCUUGGCUUGAGACCGGGAGAGGUGAGUGGAAUUCCCAGUGUAGCGGUGAAAUGCGUAGAUAUUGGGAGGAACACCAGUGGCGAAGGCGGCUCACUGGACCGGUACUGACGCUGAGGCGCGGAAAGCGUGGGGAGCAAACGGGGAUUAAGAAACC
Molecule: ribosomal RNA, 266 nt
Filed under: uncultured bacterium
Lineage: Bacteria
Description: partial 16S ribosomal RNA
Rfam family: Bacterial small subunit ribosomal RNA
Source: RNAcentral